This 279-nucleotide ribosomal RNA is filed under the name Salmonella enterica subsp. enterica serovar Virchow. RNAcentral describes it as "partial 16S ribosomal RNA". It matches the Rfam family "Bacterial small subunit ribosomal RNA", at positions 798 to 1075 of the family's 1533-position model. The record is from RNAcentral. Lineage: Bacteria; Pseudomonadati; Pseudomonadota; Gammaproteobacteria; Enterobacterales; Enterobacteriaceae.
CGCCGUAAACGAUGAGUGCUAAGUGUUGGAGGGUUUCCGCCCUUCAGUGCUGCAGCUAACGCAUUAAGCACUCCGCCUGGGGAGUACGACCGCAAGGUUGAAACUCAAAGGAAUUGACGGGGGCCCGCACAAGCGGUGGAGCAUGUGGUUUAAUUCGAAGCAACGCGAAGAACCUUACCAGGUCUUGACAUCCUUUGACCACUCUAGAGAUAGAGCUUCCCCUUCGGGGGCAAAGUGACAGGUGGUGCAUGGUUGUCGUCAGCUCGUGUCGUGAGAUGU